This is a long non-coding RNA of Nylanderia fulva, 713 nucleotides long. RefSeq lists it as uncharacterized. The record is from RefSeq and is a predicted model, not a curated record. NCBI's taxonomy places the organism in Eukaryota, Metazoa, Arthropoda, Insecta, Hymenoptera, Formicidae.
AAUUCCUGUUCAUGCGCAUGUGAAAUUAGUCUCUAGAAAUCGCAAAUAUCGUAUUUAAACUUCGCGCGUUUUUCUUGCUGUAAUCUAUAACCAACGUGACGCCGAUGACGUCGUUCCGGAGUCCAGAGUUUAUAGCGAAACACUACCGUAAACGCGUGGGGCAUGCAGCUGGAUCCUGUAUCAUGAUUUAAUUGUGAGUGCUGAGAAGGAGCGACGCAAUGGUGAAAUUAGAGCGAAAGAGGAGGUCGAGACGUCGAUGGAACAAUAAGCAGAUCAAUAUAACACGAUCUUAUUGACAAUUUGAGAGGUGAAGCAGAUCUAAGAAAGACAUCGAGCACUGACGAAAUAAUUAACCAUAGGAUCAACACAACUGACAAUCUUGACAAUUAAUUUAAGAAGAGAUAAGGUUUGAAAGAGACAUUGAGACAUCAGUAGAACAACUAUGGAAUCAACGUAACGAUCUUGGCAAUCUGAGAGGAGAAGAUCUGGAAGAGACAUCAGGCACUAGUAGAGCAACUAUAUUUAUUAUUUGAUCAACACGUAUCCUUAACGCAGUUAACUGCACUGUUACGCAUCGAUAAGUGAGUGGUAAAUUUUAUUACAAAAGGUAACGGUUUUGUAGAGAUUAGAUUGUGUGGAAAAAUGUGUAGAUUUAGAUUGUAGAUUGUGUAGACUGUAGAGUUUGUAGAUAUUAGUUCCGUUACCUUAAAAUG